Molecule: ribosomal RNA, 498 nt
Filed under: uncultured bacterium
Lineage: Bacteria
Description: partial 16S ribosomal RNA
Rfam family: Bacterial small subunit ribosomal RNA
Source: RNAcentral
GACGAACGCUGGCGGCGUGCCUAAUACAUGCAAGUCGAACGAGAGCGACCGGUGCUUGCACUGGUCAAUCUAGUGGCGAACGGGUGAGUAACACGUGGGUAACCUGCCCAUCAGAGGGGGAUAACAUCCGGAAACGGAUGCUAAAACCGCAUAGGUCUUCGAACCGCAUGGUUUGAAGAGGAAAAGAGGCGCAAGCUUCUGCUGAUGGAUGGACCCGCGGUGCAUUAGCUAGUUGGUGAGGUAACGGCUCACCAAGGCCGUGAUGCAUAGCCGACCUGAGAGGGUGAUGGGCCACAUUGGGACUGAAACACGGCCCAAACUCCUACGGAAGGCAGCAGUAGGGAAUCUUCCGCAAUGGACGGAAGUCUGACGGAGCAACGCCGCGUGAGUGAAGAAGGUUUUCGGAUCGUAAAACUCUGUUGUGAGAGAAGAACAAGUGCUAGAGUAACUGUUAGCGCCUUGACGGUAUCUAACCAGAAAGCCACGGCUAACUACGUG